GUGUCAGCAGCCGCGGUAAGACAGAGGUGCCAAGCGUUAGGCGGAAUCACUGGGCUUAAAGCGUGUGUAGGCGGAAUGGUAAGUACCUUGUGAAAUCCCACGGCUCAACCGUGGAACUGCUUGGUAUACUGCUUUUCUUGAGCCACUUAGGGGCAACCGGAACAAACGGUGGAGCGGUGAAAUGCGUAGAUAUCGUUUGGAACGCCAAUGGUGAAAACAGGUUGCUGGGAGUGUGCUGACGCUGAGACACGAAAGCCAGGGGAGCAAACGGGAUUAGAAACCCGGGUAGUCC
Molecule: ribosomal RNA, 292 nt
Filed under: uncultured bacterium
Lineage: Bacteria
Description: partial 16S ribosomal RNA
Rfam family: Bacterial small subunit ribosomal RNA
Source: RNAcentral